GUUGUCACUCAGGUACAAAUAUGCUUGCAUUUAAUGUCAGGAUUGGAGGAACACUGCACUGAAACGCUGGGCAUGGUGGUCUGUUGGUAUUUAUUGCAUUCGAGCGGUUUUAUGAGUCCAGAUUCUCCAAGCCUGCAGCACUGCAGGGGUGUCUCCAUCGCCAGCACACUCUUUGUGAAGGACACCCAGCGGGACGAUGGCAGCUGAGGACAGGCGACUGUAAUGCAGGGCUUUCCGGUCUCAGGUGGGGCCCUGCUGGAUGCCUCAUCACCUACUUCAGCAAAAAAGUGUAUCUUGAAGUCCUUCUGGGAGGAAGCAUCUGCUGAGUAACUAAAAGUAGAUGCACAGUGAAAUGAGACACGUACGAGCCAAUUCCUCAGGGUUAGAGUCUCUGCAGUUGUCCUAAAGGAGUCGAUGACCAGCAGUGAUUUUCUGUGUCUCCUGGAUUUCCACCGUCCAGAUCUAUAGAAACGCAACUGAUAACACUGAUGUAUAACAUUUUACAUUUACCUGACACUUUUGCCGAAAACAACUGGGAAUGUUUACAAUUUGUGAAUGCUCCCUCAGAAUUAAGCUUUUUGCUAUUGCCUUUGUGCUAUUAGCAGAAUGCUGUGAUUCCUGAGCUGCAGGAUUCUUUGGGGCACGUUUAGUUAGCAUGCAUUUGCUUAGUAUACAUAAGCGUGGCUUCAGAUAAGAGUUGCUGACAGGCAGCAUGGACAGUGAGGAAUCAGGGCUUCCUGUUGUCCUAAAGCUGAAGCAGAAUUCUUGUCCUGACUGUCAGUACGUUUACAUGCACACUAAGAAAAUCGAAUUAUUGUGACUAAAAUUGGACUUGUAAACUAGUACAUGUAAAUAUGUUAGUCCGACUGAAAUCGUACUAAAUCGAAUUUCUCUUUCUCGGACUAUGCAAUUCGGAGUCAGCUUACUCCGGCAUGUAUACGUCCAAUCGGAUUCAAACUGGCCUAGGCGCUCUGCACAUGCUCCUCAGUUUUUCCCUGGGCUUUGGCCCGGAAGACACAGAAGAAGCUUCGAGCAUAGCAGAGGAUGUCCAGCAAGUACGAAAUAUACAGCGCUGUACAGCUGUCCAAUCCACCGCUGAACUAUAAGCCGCCUCUGCACCCCACCAGGUACCAUACUUUUGGUACUUCAAAAAGGUACCAAACAUAUUAUAGUGCAGGAGUCAAGCUAAACAUUUUUACUCUGUCAUAGGGAAAAAAAAACAUUUCAAGUUUUGCAAUUUUAAUGAUUUUUCAUUUUCAAGAUAUAUUCAAGGAAUAUGUUUAAAAAUCUGUUUAAAAUUUACCUCAGCUGCUUUUGCAUGAACGCUGAAUAAGUUCUCCAAGACAAUCAGAAUCACUUUCAUCCUUGCUGUUUAAAUCACUCCUAGACGGUUCAUGAGGAAUUUAUGUUGACCUCCUUUUUUGUUUCAUAAAUACCCCAAUAUUUAUUACAACAAAACCACAUUGCAAUAUUUGAAAAAUGUCCAAUACCGUGCUGUCAUAGUAUAUUAUACUCAGAUCUGGUUGAUAUAACAAUCAAAACUUGUGUCACCGAUUAUUAUUAAUUCUAUUAUUUAUUUUUUAUGUCUGUGAUGUCACAGGUUAACCGGAAAAAGCCCAAUACUAACAAGCUGAAAGGAGCAAUAUCGCCACCUGUUGUAGCGGAGUCAGACACAGUCCGGUCAAUAAAUUGAUUCCCCUCCUGUGCAAGUAUACUGGAACAAGGACAGCAGUCCGAUUAAAAGGCGUAGUCGAGCUAUAACCAGAGCCCGACUUAGCUGUGCAUGUAAACGUACUUUGUGAGGUCCUACUAUUUACGGUGUGACAGACCACCUUGCGGCUGCAGAGGUGUCACGUGCAUCAACAGCCGCUCCCUGUGAUUAAACAGGCGCAUGUAUGGAAACUAACCGAAGAGCUUUCUGACACGUGUGAAGUGGCUUUGUGAGUUUGAUUCAUAUCGCGUUUUUACCAGACAGGGUAGCUUUUAAUUAGAUUUACGCACAUGAUUUAUAUGUUGAUUGAUGAGGGAGCUUGUUGAAGUAGGACAGGUUAUCAGAGCACAGGAGAUGCAAUUUGUACAACCUAAUUGCCUCAGGGAGCAGCCUGUUGCCCUUAAUGGCUACACUGUCGCAUACUGUGGACUCACUGACAUUCCCAGACUAUGUUCUGCAGCACAUAAUAAAAUGCACAUGUUUAUCUUACCAAUGACAUCGUGCUAAGUUGAUGAUCUGUCAUUACCUGGAGUCAUCUCCAAUGUAGGUGUCCAGCAUCCUUUAUAAAUAAUAUAAAAUUUCAUUUUGAACGUU
This is a long non-coding RNA of Brienomyrus brachyistius, 2305 nucleotides long. RefSeq lists it as uncharacterized. NCBI's taxonomy places the organism in Eukaryota, Metazoa, Chordata, Actinopteri, Osteoglossiformes, Mormyridae. The transcript has 2 exons. The record is from RefSeq and is a predicted model, not a curated record.